This 439-nucleotide ribosomal RNA is filed under the name uncultured bacterium. RNAcentral describes it as "bacterial SSU rRNA". It matches the Rfam family "Bacterial small subunit ribosomal RNA", at positions 338 to 795 of the family's 1533-position model. The record is from RNAcentral.
CCUACGGGUGGCACCAGUGGGGAAUAUUGCACAAUGGAGGGAACUCUGAUGCAGCGACGCCGCGUGAGCGAUGAAGGCCUUCGGGUCGUAAAGCUCUGUCCUAUGGGACGAUAAUGACGGUACCAUAGGAGGAAGCCCCGGCUAACUACGUGCCAGCAGCCGCGGUAAUACGUAGGGGGCGAGCGUUGUCCGGAAUUACUGGGCGUAAAGGGUACGCAGGCGGUCAUGUAAGUCAGAUGUGAAAUCCUAAGGCUUAACCUUAGUAAGCAUUUGAAACUGCGUGGCUUGAGUUAAGGAGAGGAAAGUGGAAUUCCUGGUGUAGCGGUGAAAUGCGUAGAUAUCAGGAGGAAUACCAGUGGCGAAGGCGACUUUCUGGCCUUAAACUGACGCUGAGGUACGAAAGCGUGGGGAGCAAACAGGAUUAGAUACCCUAGUAGUC